GCCAACCUACGGGGCGCAGCAGUGAGGAAUAUUGGUCAAUGGGCGGUAGCCUGAACCAGCCAAGUGGCGUGAGGGAAGACGGUCCUAUGGAUUGUAAACCUCUUUAGGCGGGGAGCAAUGCCGGGCACGUGUGCCCGGAGGGAGAGUACCCGCAGAAUAAGCAUCGGCUAACUCCGUGCCAGCAGCCGCGGUAAUACGGAGGAUGCGAGCAUUAUCCGGAUUUAUUGGGUUUAAAGGGUGCGUAGGCGGAUUUUUAAGUCAGCGGUAAAAUGUCCGGGCUCAACCCGGGCCGGCCGUUGAAACUG
RNAcentral lists this ribosomal RNA (305 nucleotides) under uncultured bacterium. RNAcentral describes it as "bacterial SSU rRNA". It matches the Rfam family "Bacterial small subunit ribosomal RNA", at positions 331 to 635 of the family's 1533-position model. The record is from RNAcentral.